RNAcentral lists this ribosomal RNA (207 nucleotides) under uncultured bacterium. RNAcentral's name for it is "partial 16S ribosomal RNA". It matches the Rfam family "Bacterial small subunit ribosomal RNA", at positions 568 to 774 of the family's 1533-position model. The record is from RNAcentral.
CGCGUAGGCGGUUCGUACAGUCAGACGUGAAAUUCCCGGGCUCAACCUGGGGGCUGCGUUUGAUACGUACGGGCUUGAGUUCGGAAGAGGGUCGUGGAAUUCCCAGUGUAGAGGUGAAAUUCGUAGAUAUUGGGAAGAACACCGGUGGCGAAGGCGGCGACCUGGUCCGAUACUGACGCUGAGGCGCGAAAGCGUGGGGAGCAAACA